UUUUUUUUUUUUUUUCCUCAUUUCUGUUCCUGUGGAUGAUUUCUAGUUUCAUGCCAUUGUGGUCUGAGAAGAUACUUGAAGUAAUUUCUAUACUCUUAAAUUUGUUGAGGUUAGUUUUGUGCCGCAUAUGUGGUCAAUCCUUGAGAAUGCUCCAUGUGCACUUGAAAAGAAUGUAUAUUCUGACUUUUUUGGAUGUAAUGUUUCGAAAGUGUCAAUUAAAUCUACAUUUUCUAUUGUGUCACUUAGGACAUCUGCUGCCUUAUUGAUUUCUGUGUGGAGGAUCUGUCCAUUGAUGUGAGUGGGGUGUUAGUCUCCUGCUAUUACUGUAUUCCCAUCAAUUAUUCCUUUUAUGUCUUUUAGUAUUUAUAGUAUGUAUCUGGGUGCUCCUAAUAUUAGAGGCAUAUAAAUUGAUAAGCGUAAUAUCUUCUUCUUGAAUGGAUCCUUUUAUCACUAAGUAGUGUCUUUCUUUGUCUUCCUUUAUGGCCUUCAUUUUAAAGUCUAUUUUGUCUGAUACGAGUAUUGGAACCCUGCUUUCCUGUCUUUUCCAUUCCUAUGACGUUUCUUUUUCCAUCUCCUCACUUUCAAUUUAUACGUGUCCUUUGCCCUAAGAUGAGUCUCUUGUAGGAAGCAUACUGUAGUUCUUACUUUUGUAUCCAGUCUGCUACUCAUGUCUUUUGAUUAGAACAUUCAAUCCACUGACAUUUAAGGUAAUUAUUAAUAUAUAUUUAUUGCCAUUUUAAAUGUUUUCCAAUUGAGUCUACUUGUCUCCUUUGUUCCUUUCCUUUUUUGGUUGCAUGAUUUCCUUUUAUUUUAUGCUUGUGUUUUCUUCUUUCUAGUGUUUGUGAAUGUAUUAUUUUGUUUUGAUUUGUGGUUGCCCUGUUUCUCAAGUAUAUUAACCUCUUCCUAUACGGGCUUGCUUUAGCCUGAUAGUCAUGUAGGCUCAAACACAUUCUAAAAAAAGAGUCUAGAUUUUCUUACUUUCCUUACCCACACUGUAUGAUUUUGAUGUCCUUUUUUAACAUCUUCAUGAUUAUCCUUUUGUUGUUCCUACCACCUAAAAGAAUUACAAAAAUAACAGACAAAACCUAAAGUCAGCAGAAGGAAGAAAAACAUAAAGAUCAGAGAGGAAAUCAGUAAAAUAGAGAUUCAAAAAACAAUAGAAAAAAGUCAAUAAAACCAAGAGCUGGUUCUUUGAAAGGGUAAACAAAAUGGACAAACCUCUGGCCAGACUCACCAAGAAGAGAGAAAGAGCUCAAAUAAACAAAAUAAGAAAUGAAGGAGAAUUAUCAAUGGAAACAAAAGAAAUCCAAGAAGAAGAAGAGGAAGAGGAAGAAGAAGAAGAGGAAGAAGAAGAGGAAGAAGAAGAGGAAGAAGAGGAGGAGGAAGAGGAGGAAGAGGAGGGAGAGGAGGAAAAGGAGGAAGAGGAAGAGGAGGAAGAGGAAGAGGAAGAGGAAGAAGAAGAAGAAGAAGAAAAUACUAUGAACAAUUAUAUGCCAACAAAUUUGACAACCUAGAAGAAAUGGAGAACUUUCUAGAGACAUACAGCUCACCAAAACUGAAUCAAGAAGAAACAGAUCAAUUGAACACACUGAUCGCUAGUAAUGAAAUUGGAAAUGUCAUGAAACCCUCCCUACAAACAAAAGUCCAGGAUCAGAUAGCUUCACGGGUGAAUUCUACCAUACAUACAAAGAACUUAUACCCAUCCUUCUUAAACCCUUCCCAAGGGUUGAAGAAGAAAGAAUAAUCCCAAAGACAUUCUAUGAAGCCACUAUCACCCUAAUACCAAACCAGACAAAACUACUACCAAAAAAGAAAAUUAUAGGCCAGUAACUUUGAUGAAUAUAGAAAAUGUUUGAUGACUUCCCUAUUUAUAAUAAUAUUUCAUUCUUUCUUAAACUUCACUAUGAAGUCUCUUCUGGAAAUAAUUAGGCUUUACCACAAUGAGCUGAUGUGUUACACAGUAUUAUUGUCCAAAUGCAGGAUGAAAUGAUCCACGAAACUUGAAACUUGAUAACACAUUUUUCCUAAACAGUGAGCUGACCAGCAGUAUUUUCUAAAUUGAAAUGUGAACUGAACAAAGUAUCUUUGGACUUCCUGCUUUAAAUUCUAAAUGGAAAGUAUUCAAUACACAUUCUCAAAGUAGAACACUAAGUUACAAAUAUAGACACAUUUACCAUAAAGAAAUCUGAAAGGAAUACCUUAAAAUAUCUUAUGUAUAGAUAAUUAUUAAUCACUGACAUACUGGAAGUUUUACUAACAACAACUAAACUUUUAUUUGAUAAUGUGAAGAAAUCAUAUUGGUACCCUAAAGUACCUAAAAUACUUCAUUACAAAGAUUUGUUUUGGUCAGAUAAGUAUAGAACUGAACAAGGUUUAUGAUCUAAACUUUACCUAAAUGAACUAUCAAUUCAUGUACAGGACAUAGAAUAGUUUGAUGAAAAUUUACUGCUUUAAUUCCUAGUAAUAAUGCAAAUUUUAGUUUCAUCAAUUUUUUAAUUCAUACAAUUAAAUUAACUUAAAUAUUAGAAUGGUUCAAAAUCAUGUUCAUUCAACAUAAUUUUUUUAUUUCCCCAAUAUAUCAUUAUUAUUUUCUACUGUAUAGCAUGGUGACCCAGUUACACAUACAUGUAUACAUUCUUUUUUCUCCAUCAAACUCCUGGUAGAGAACACAGGCAAAACAUUCUCUGACAUCAGCCUUACAAGUGUUUUCUCAGGUCAGUAUCCCAAAGCAACAGAAAUAAAAACAAAAAUAAAUCAACAUCAUUUAAAAUAUUAGGAUGUUUCAAAAUGACGUUCAUUGUUAGAAUCUACCUAUUUGGACAAUAGUUUAAUAGGAAACACUAAGAUGGAGAGAAAUAAUUCAGCUAACCUUUGCUGAUAGGUAUUCACAGAAAUAAAAGUUUUCUCUACUUCUAUAAUUCAGUAGAAUUAGUCUGAAAUUCUGUUUCUCAUGUUUUUCUCCUCAUUCUUCAGCUCCAAUCUUCUAAAAUAUGUGACAGACAUAGCUACUGCAUUUUGGCUCUGCUCUCUUUCUCCCUAUGUGUUAAAAAACCAUUACAUUUGACACCUGAUUCCCUUGGAGAAACUGUUAAAUGCCUUUAGGCUCAUUUUAGAGGCUAAAGUUGCAUUUUUUUUUCUUCUUGUGGCAAGGACACUUAACAUAUAUGGGUUUUGACAGUUAUUUCAAGGCACCCUUUGACUAGAGUUUCAAAACAAAGAACAUAGAUUUGCAUGUACCUGUUCUUUAUAGGAUAAAUGAUUCUGAUCAUACACAACUCAAAUGAAUUCAACUAAAUAUGCCUUGAAAAUGAAGAAAAGCUAACCAACAAAAUAUAUGUACAGAGAUAUAAUAUUGUAAAUAGCACAUGCCCCAGAAUGACUGUUAAUGGGACAUACAAUCCAAUUCACUAUUCCCAUAGGAGAUUUGAGUUCUCAAUUAUCUGUCAUAUUAUGAGCAUUCCACCAGGGUGAGUAUGACCUUCCUUUUAAAAACAUAAAAACUCUAUAAAAUGUGAUUCCUAAACAUAAGUCUACUGUUUCAUUUGGCGUUCAACCAAUAACUUGUUCAUCUAUCUCAAACCUAGAAGUAGAACACUCUGCAUAGAAUCACUGUGAGGAAAUACUGGUUUCCUACUGGGCACCAUCAGUUUCUAGGUUGAAGCGUACAUCCUUGGGAGUCAAAUGAUUCUCUAGAACAUGGGAGUGAGUAGCAGAGACAAGUCUGAAAUUCCAGUCUCCAGACUCCCACUCCUUGCUCCUCUAGUACACUUUAACAAUUUCCCUUCCUUAUAAGACCAUCCAAUCAAAUGCUGACAGACUUCAUGGACUUUUCCAACCAUAUUUCCCAGUCUCCCUGGCAUACAACUGUGCUUCAAUCAAAUUGGGUUUUCCAUGCAUGAGCUUGCUGCACAUAAUACUGGC
This 3921-nucleotide long non-coding RNA is filed under the name Sus scrofa (pig). RNAcentral's name for it is "lncRNA (ENSSSCG00065001604.1)". Lineage: Eukaryota; Metazoa; Chordata; Mammalia; Artiodactyla; Suidae. The record is from RNAcentral.